This 3335-nucleotide long non-coding RNA is filed under the name Gallus gallus (chicken). RNAcentral describes it as "lncRNA (ENSGALG00010002778.1)". Lineage: Eukaryota; Metazoa; Chordata; Aves; Galliformes; Phasianidae. The record is from RNAcentral.
GGGAAAUAUUCUCAAUUGAGAAAGUUCUGCAUUUCAGAACAAUUACAUCUGUGUUUGCCAGGAUUUCAUUAGCCAAAAGCUGUAGUACGUACUGAAUAAUGUGCACAGAGUGAAAUAGUAAAUCACUGCAUACACAAUGAUAGGGCUGUUGUGUGAGUCAGUACAUGGCAACACAUGUCAGUCCUCGUCAGCGAACAGCGUGCCUUGGUUCUGUGGACUGUCCGAUUUCAGCUACCUCACCUUUUUCUCAAACACCUUCUUUCUGGAGCGGUGUUUGUCCUGAGUUGUGUGGAAGUAACAUCCAAGUUCCUCUGUGCCCAUGUUCUCAUUGCAAGAUAUUCUACUGGGUUCUUGACUCCUGCAUCUUUGGAAAGGUAUUGUCUUUCCAAUCAUGGUGUCUCCUGUUAGUGAUUGCUGCUGGAACAGCUGCACUCCAACCUCUGCAAUGAAGAUUUUAUUUUUUGUGCGUGCUCCUGACUUGUCUGCCUGUAAUUAAAAUUGAGCAAGCAGAACAUCAGUGAGUAUGGGAACUGCUGAAUCACGGCCUGAACCUCUGGUUGACCACCUGAGAUGAGCACCGAAUCAGCCGUGGGAGCACAGGUGAAGGCAAUUCAGCUGUGUGACCGGAAGGGGUGGAGCCAGGCUGCACCUCUCCUACACCCCAUUUAAGGGCUGACUGCCACUGAGGAAGGGUCUCUCUCUGGAGAUUGCUCUUCAUGGAGUUUUUGUGAGCCUCCAACAUUGCUAUGGGUUCUGAUCUGAAGAGUAUGGCCCCAGCAGCAGGAAUUUGCAAGACCAGUCAGCAUGGUCUGAUGUUUUCAUCAUUGUCAGAAGUGAGAUUUCUCUUUCAUUCUGCUAGUUCAGAACUAUGAGUAAAUUCUACUACUGCUAUUUUCCUCUGCGAUGGAGAUAAGUUGGAGCAGCAUAUUCAGGGCUUGCAGAUGUCUCCUUUGGGUUGCAAGACAACUUUGAGGAAGUGGAGUGUGAGAAAGGUGAAGACCUAAAGAGAAGGAACUGAAGCCAAGAACAGUAAAAGUACACCACUGUGGAUUCCUACAGGGAUAAGACCUGUAUUGUUGCAGCAUUAAAAUUCUGUGAAUCUGCUGAGAUCUGAGGUGGACUACGUGCUCCUAAGACUCACAGUCCAUGACAGGCUUCAUCUCAUCAAAAUGAAUGGUGUCUCUUUAUGGCCUGGCACGUACCGGCAGAAGGUUCUAAGUUACACCAAUGGGACAUUUAAACCUGCCCUAAAAUGCGUUUCAGGUAGGAACAGAAUGACUGUGGAGCAGCCUGCAAUGCCCAUUUGUCGAUUUCCUUGCACUGCACAUGAUCAAUCUGCAUUGCCAUGGGUAAUUUUUGCUGCAAAAGGUGCCUUGUACCAGCUUGUUGAAGCACCAUGGGAAGACACACAGACCACUUGUUUACUCUCUCCAUUUCUAGGAGGUUGGAAGAACCAAACCAUGCUAGAAACAGAACCGCUGCAAGCCAGGCAGCUGAACAGUCAGAGCUUAUGGGGGAAUCCUAGGAGGACUAUUGGAUUGAGAUUUGAGGGCUCAUCAGAGCAGAACGUUGGAUGCAGAGUUCAAAGUGCCCUUGUGUGGGUCCAUUCAGAAGCCACUCAGCAGACCACAGGCGCAUACCUUGUGAGUACUUGGUCUCCUGGAGGUCACACUGCCCCUGGAUGUUUGCUACUAGCUGCUGUGCAGCAGCACUGCCAGAUGUGGGGGAUACAAUCUGUUCCUGGCCUUUUGCUGCAGACAGAUGCAAAACCAGGACUGCUCCUACUUUGGCUCUGACUCCUGGUCGUCUCAUGUGUGACCUCAAAGCUACUGCACACCAUUGUGUACCUGCAGACUUACUGGAGCAAAGCCUCCAAAUGGCAAAUGGAAAAGCCAUCUGGACUUGUCCGUGGCCCUGCUAACUCUCAUGGUGCUGCCUUGGCUGUAGUCAACCACCUCUAGCAGGAGGAAAUGUCAUCCUUAACAAAACCAGAGAAGCUUAUCAAGUCACUGAGCAAACCUACAGUGUCCCUUGUACAGGCAGAGAUUCUUCUGAAGCCCCAUCAGAAUUUCUGGUCCAGUCAUCUGCCUCAUUCUCUCUGUUCAACAUCUGUGGUGCUUUUGUUCAGCAGGAAAAAGCAAAGAUGUUUAAAAGAAAACAAAAAACAGAGCACAAUGCAAACAAACCAAAUUAAAGAAAACGUUUUAAAGCAUUUCCUUGCUCACAAGAUGUGAGAUGGUCAUGUGUUUAAAACUGCAAUAUUAUUUCUGGCGACCGGUCUUGUGAUAUCCUUUUGUUGAUUUUUUCCAACCUCUCAAGAAACUGGAAUGAAAAUAUUUUACUGAUGUUACCAUCCCUGGGAACGGUUUGUCAACGCUGACCCAGGUUAAUGCUGCAAACUCAAAAUAUUUGGCAUGUGCUUUUGUAUUUUUCCUUCAUCAAAGAGAUUAUAUGGGGUGAAGGUCUGUUCACAUGAAAGCAGUGAGAGAUACUGGCAGUGUACUUAGCAAAACAAGAGGGGCCCUUUUAUAAAUGUGUGUGCAUAUAUGCAAAUAUGCUUUUGCAGAUGAUAAUAUAAUCAUGAAAAAGUCAUUACUGUCGCAUUAAGGUAGCUGGCUAACGGGAAAGCUGUGUGGAUGUUGUGGGGAUGGAUAUACUGUAGAAACAAGGACAUAUCCAUCACAGUUCUGUGGCAGUUCUGUGACCAGGGGAAUCAAUGGAGCCUGAUUUUCUAUGGCUUUGUGCCCUGAUGUUAUGACCCUAUCGAGAUUUUUCCAAUGUCUCAUAGGAGAUGCUGCACUUUUUACCUCAGAGAGGCACUAAGCACGGCUCUUAGCUGACUGCCUACUUUCAGAAUACUUUUAAGGAUGUAAGAGGGUUGGGUUUUUUUGGAUUUUUAUACCUUUGCCAAAUGUGCUUGCUAUAGGCCUAAACAUUUGAAGAUUCAUAGAGAGGUCUCAGAUGUACAAAGAGACGGCACGGAGUCCUAAAGCCAAUUUCUGUGAAAUCAAUUUAAGUGUCCUCACACUUUAGCUAUGGAAAAGAAAAACAAACGUGAAUUAAAACAGAAAACAUGAUUUUAAACGUAAAUACGGAAUGUGAUGGCUAAGGAAGAAAAGAUAAACAUGCAGAUUAAAAAUCAGUCACUCAGGGGAGGCCUUCCGCUAACUUGCAAUGAGAAUUUCGCACCUAAUUGCAAUCUGUGUCUUUCAAAAUCACACAACCUCUGCUGUAAAAGUACAUGAAACUUCUCACAGACGACAUUAUGUUAAAAAACUCCUCCAUUUGCUCUGGUGCCUGGGAAUAAACAAACCUGACUUCUGGUUGCAGCUUGC